RNAcentral lists this long non-coding RNA (2710 nucleotides) under Salmo salar (Atlantic salmon). RNAcentral's name for it is "lncRNA (ENSSSAG00000093211.1)". Lineage: Eukaryota; Metazoa; Chordata; Actinopteri; Salmoniformes; Salmonidae. The record is from RNAcentral.
UGUGCUUGCACAGAGGGAACUGACGAUAGUUAAGAUUGCGUGUGUUUGUGCGUGCAUGGGUGGGUGUGUGGGUGGGUGGCUUCAGGCUGUAGGCUUCAGGCUGCUGGUCUGGGGCCCAGUGUAGUGUGUCUCUCUAUCUGUGUUUUCAUGUUUGUGUGAUUUGAAUUGUGAUUUUGUGGAUUCAAAUAAAGUAUUUAAAACGUGUGUGUUUGUUUCUCUCCCUCUGUGUGUUGUGGUGUUCAGAGGAGAGGGCUCUGUGGCGGUCCUCCUCUCUGUGCUCCGGUCCCCAUGGAGAAACCCCCCAAUGUCCUCUCUCUCUCUCUCUCUCUCUCUCUCUCUCUCUCUCUCUCUCUCUCUCUCUCUCUCUCUCUCUCUCUCUCUCCAGCUACACCAGGAGAUGUUUUGAUGUCAGCUGCAUCUCUUUGUCUCUUCCUCCCUCUCCCCUCAUCUUUUUCUUUAUCGUUUUCUCUUUUCCCGUUCCCUCCCUCUCUCGCUGUCUCUCUGCAAAGCUCAGGUUGUGGUGCUUACAGGACUCGGCAGCGCCACUGUACUCCUCACCAUUUGAUCAUUAAUUUAUCACAGCUCCAACAGUUUGUUUGACAGGUGCAGUAACUUUCAUCUGGUGGGCUUGGCAGCAUUUGCUGCUCUCUCUCUCUCUCUCUGACUCCCCCUCUCUCCCCCUGUCUUUUGCUUCUCCUCCUCUCUCCCCCCUCCCAUCUCUCCUCACCCUUCUCUCUCUCUCCACUUUCUCUCAGCCCUGGUAAGGUGAAAGUAAAGACAGGAGCCACCUCUCCCUAACAGGAUCCAUUUGCCCCUCUCUGGUAAUGAGAAGACAAACAUACACUGUUCCUCUCUGAUACAUCAUGUUUUAUUGAUACAGUCAGCUUAGGGAAUACAUGAAUGGGAACAGGAGGAUCAUUUGGGGGCCUUGUAGGCCUAUGUGUAACUAGCUGGUGAUGUUGUUGUUAAUCGACUUGUGGUGCUAUAGCAACAGCAUAGCUCUUUCUUUGUAUCUCUCUACCAUCUCUCUCAGUAUAUGUAUUUAUAUCACUGAUGUAUCUUUGUCUUGUUACCCCUCCAUCUUUCUUCCUGAAACUAUCUUUUCUCUUUCUUCCACAAAGAUUAAUCUACCUUGUCUGAUUGGUAACCUGAACAGGAAGGUUGUGUGGAGAGACUCCAUCAUGAUGAGUUGAUCAUCCCUGAUCAGAGAAAGGCCCUUAGUUCAUCCAUUAUAUUGACCCAGAGUAAAGGUUCAUACCAUUAUAUUGACCCAGAGUAAAGGUUCAUAUCAGUAUAUUGACCCAGAGUAAAGGUUCAUACCAGUAUAUUGACCCAGAGUAAAGGUUCAUACCAGUAUAUUGACCCAGAGUAAAGGUUCAUACCAGUAUAUUGACCCAGAGUAAAGGUUCAUACCAGUAUAUUGACCCAGAGUAAAGGUUCAUUCCAGUAUAUUGACCCAGAGUAAAGGUUCAUACCAGUAUAUUGACCCAGAGUAAAGGUUCAUACCAUUAUAUUGACCCAGAGUAAAGGUUCAUACCAGUAUAUUGACCCAGAGUAAAGGUUCAUUCCAGUAUAUUGACCCAGAGUAAAGGUUCAUACCAGAAUAUUGACCCAGAGUAAAGGUUCAUACCAGUAUAUUGACCCAGAGUAAAGGUUCAUACCAUUAUAUUGACCCAGAAAAAGGUUCAUGCCAUUAUAUUGACCCAGAGUAAAGGUUCAUACCAUUAUAUUGACCCAGAAAAAAGGUUCAUACCAUUAUAUUGACCAAGAGUAAAGGUUCAGACCAGGAUGUUGACCCAGAGUAAAGGUUCAGGACAGAAAGCCUAUAGCAACAGCAUAGCUCUUUCUUUGUAUCUCUCUACCAUCUCUCUCAGUAUAUGUAUUUAUAUCACUGAUGUAUCUUUGUCUUGUUACCCCUCCAUCUUUCUUCCUGAAACUAUCUUUUCUCUUUCUUCCACAAAGAUUAAUCUACCUUGUCUGAUUGGUAACCUGAACAGGAAGGUUGUGUGGAGAGACUCCGUCAUGAUGAGUUGAUCAUCCCUGAUCAGAGAAAGGCCGUUAGUUCACUCUGCUCUCUGUGGGAAUGUGCUAACAUACACCGCCUGUGUCCAGCUCAGCCCACCCACUCCUUACCGUCAGACUGUCCUUCUCUCUUUUUCUCUGUAUUUUUCACUGUUCCUGUCUUUUUCUUCACAUGCCAUACUUUCCCUCUCACUUCCUCUUUUAAAUCCAUCUCUGUCUACCAACUGUAAACCAUUAAACAGCCCCUCCUUCCUCUCCCAUAUCUAUCUUCACUCCACUAUUAAGGCAUUCUCUCUCUGUCCUAAUCCUGUGAACAACAUUUUUAUUCCUGGAUACUGGAUGUUGUAUGAGAUCAAGGGCCCCUAUAGCCUCAUAGGUUCUCAUAGAUCAAGGGCCCCUAUAGCCUCAUAGGUUCUCAUAGAUCAGUGGCCCCUAUAGCCUCAUAGGUUCUCAUAGAUCAAGGGCCCCUAGAGCCUCAUAGGUUCUCAUAGAUCAAGGCCUCCAGAAGAGCAGCUUAGGAUACCCUCAUAUCUCUCCCACCCUCCAUCAUUUACUCUCUCCCUCCAUUCUUUACAUCCAUAAUUACUCCCUCUCCCUCUCUCUCGCUUCCUCCCUCUCCCUCUCUCUCUCUUGCUCUCUCUUGCUCUCUCCCCCUCCCUCUCCGUCUCUCUCUCUCUCUCUCGCUCUC